This 497-nucleotide ribosomal RNA is filed under the name uncultured bacterium. RNAcentral's name for it is "partial 16S ribosomal RNA". It matches the Rfam family "Bacterial small subunit ribosomal RNA", at positions 28 to 507 of the family's 1533-position model. The record is from RNAcentral.
GAUGAACGCUGGCGGCGUGCCUAAUACAUGCAAGUCGAGCGAACAGAUAAGGAGCUUGCUCCUUUGACGUUUGCGGCGGACGGGUGAGUAACACGUGGGUAACCUACCUAUAAGACUGGGAUAACUUCGGGAAACCGGAGCUAAUACCGGAUAACAUUUGGAACCGCAUGGUUCUAAAGUGAAAGAUGGUUUUGCUAUCACUUAUAGAUGGACCCGCGCCGUAUUAGCUAGUUGGUAAGGUAACGGCUUACCAAGGCGACGAUACGUAGCCGACCUGAGAGGGUGAUCGGCCACACUGGAACUGAGACACGGUCCAGACUCCUACGGGAGGCAGCAGUAGGGAAUCUUCCGCAAUGGGCGAAAGCCUGACGGAGCAACGCCGCGUGAGUGAUGAAGGGUUUCGGCUCGUAAAACUCUGUUAUUAGGGAAGAACAAAUGUGUAAGUAACUGUGCACGUCUUGACGGUACCUAAUCAGAAAGCCACGGCUAACUACGUG